CAGUAGCCGCGGUAAUACGAAGGGGGCUAGCGUUGUUCGGAAUUACUGGGCGUAAAGCGCACGUAGGCGGAUAUUUAAGUCAGGGGUGAAAUCCCGCAGCUCAACUGCGGAACUGCCUUUGAUACUGGGUAUCUUGAGUAUGGAAGAGGUUAGUGGAAUUGCGAGUGUAGAGGUGAAAUUCGUAGAUAUUCGCAGGAACACCAGUGGCGAAGGCGGCUAACUGGUCCAUAACUGACGCUGAGGUGCGAAAGCGUGGGGAGCAAACAGGAUUAGAGACCCCCGUAGUCCCUGUCUCUUAUAC
This 301-nucleotide ribosomal RNA is filed under the name uncultured bacterium. Its description in RNAcentral is "partial 16S ribosomal RNA". It matches the Rfam family "Bacterial small subunit ribosomal RNA", at positions 509 to 807 of the family's 1533-position model. The record is from RNAcentral.